This 570-nucleotide ribosomal RNA is filed under the name Purpureocillium lilacinum. RNAcentral's name for it is "eukaryotic LSU rRNA". It matches the Rfam family "Eukaryotic large subunit ribosomal RNA", at positions 54 to 648 of the family's 3401-position model. The record is from RNAcentral. Lineage: Eukaryota; Fungi; Ascomycota; Sordariomycetes; Hypocreales; Ophiocordycipitaceae.
AGGAAAAGAAACCAACAGGGAUUGCCCCAGUAACGGCGAGUGAAGCGGCAACAGCUCAAAUUUGAAAUCUGGCCCCCAGGGCCCGAGUUGUAAUUUGCAGAGGAUGCUUUUGGCGCGGUGCCUUCCGAGUUCCCUGGAACGGGACGCCAUAGAGGGUGAGAGCCCCGUCUGGUCGGACGCCUAGCCUGUGUAAAGCUCCUUCGACGAGUCGAGUAGUUUGGGAAUGCUGCUCUAAAUGGGAGGUAUAUGUCUUCUAAAGCUAAAUACCGGCCAGAGACCGAUAGCGCACAAGUAGAGUGAUCGAAAGAUGAAAAGCACUUUGAAAAGAGGGUUAAAUAGUACGUGAAAUUGUUGAAAGGGAAGCGCUUGUGACCAGACUUGGGCCCGGUGGAUCAUCCAGCGUUCUCGCUGGUGCACUCCGCCGGGUUCAGGCCAGCAUCAGUUCGCCGCGGGGGAAAAAGGCUUCGGGAACGUGGCUCCUACGGGAGUGUUAUAGCCCGUUGCAUAAUACCCUGGGGCGGACUGAGGUUCGCGCUCCGCAAGGAUGCUGGCGUAAUGGUCAUCAGCGAC